The sequence is a ribosomal RNA, 1495 nucleotides long. It matches the Rfam family "Archaeal small subunit ribosomal RNA". The record is from Rfam.
AUUCCAGUUGAUCCUGCUGGAGGCUACUGCUAUUGGGGUUCGACUAAGCCAUGCGAGUCAAAGGGUUAUGACAAUAACACUGGCGAAAGGCUCAGUAACACGUGGAUAACUUGCCCUCGGAAGGAGUAUAACCUCGGGAAACUGAGGCUAAUACACCAUAGGUGACAAGUACUGGAAUGUCUGUCACUUAAAAGGGGCCGUUGUUAUGUCCGACGGUCACCGUCUGAGGAUAGGUCUGCGGCGGAUUAGGUUGAUGGCGAGGUAAUGGCUCACCAUGCCUGCGAUCCGUACCGGCUAUGAGAGUAGGAGCCGGGAGAUGGGUACUGAGACACGGAUCCGGGCCUUACGGGGUGCAGCAGGCGCGAAACCUCUACAAUGCACGAAAGUGUGAUAGGGGAACCCCAAGUGCUUCUGUAAAACAGGAGCUUUUGUAGUGUGUAAAAAGCAUUACGAAUAAAGGCUGGGUAAGACCGGUGCCAGCCUCCGCGGUAAUACCGGCAGCUUAAGUGGUAGUCGUUUAUUGGGCUUAAAGCGUCCGUAGUCGGUUUGGCAAGUUCUCUGUGAAAUCCUGCAGCUUAACUGUAGGGCUUGCAGAGAAUACUACCAGACUUGAGGUCGGGAAGGGUCAGGGGUAUUCAUGGGGUAGCGGUGAAAUGUAUUGAUCCCAUGAGGACCACCUGUGGCGAAGGCGCCUGACUGGAACGAGCCUGACGAUGAGGGACGAAAGCUAGGGGAGCAAACCGGAUCAGAUACCCGGGUAGUCCUAGCCGUAAACGAUGUGGCCUGAAUGUUGCAGGAAUCUUCGUGUUUCUGCAGUGUUGAAGGGAAACCGUUAAGGCCACCGCCUGGGGAGUAUGGUCGCAAGUCUGAAACUUAAAGGAAUUGGCGGGGGAACACCACAAGGGGUGGAGUCUGCGGUUUAAUUGGAUACAACGCCGAGCAACUUACCAGGGGCGACAGCAGAAUGAAGGCCAGGUUGAAGAUCUUGCCGGACGCGCUGAGAGGUAGUGCAUGGCCGCCGUCAGCUCGUACUGUGAAGCGUGCGGUUAAGUCCGUUAACGAGCGAGACCCGUACCUCUAUUUGCAACCUAUGUCUAUCAGAUAUGGGGCACUAUAGAGGGACCGCUGGCGAUGAGUCAGAGGAAGGCGCGGGCUACGGUAGGUCUGUAUGCUCCGAAUCUCCUGGGCUACACGCGGACUACAAUGGCGCAAACAACGGGAUGCAACUCCGAAAGGAGCGAGCUAAUCUCUUAAAUUGCGUCCCAGUUCGGAUUGUGGGCUGUAACUCGCCCACAUGAAGCUGAAAUCCCUAGUAAUCGCUGGUCACUAUCUAGCGGUGAAUAUGUCCCUGUUCCUUGCACACACCGCCCGUCAAACCAAUCGAGUGGGUCAGGGAUGAGGCUCUCUCAUACGGGAGAGUCGAAUUCCAGGUCCGCAAGAGGGGUUAAGUCGUAACAAGGUAUCCGUAGGGGAAUCUGCGGAUGGAUCACCUCCA